RNAcentral lists this transfer RNA (59 nucleotides) under Gibbium aequinoctiale. RNAcentral describes it as "tRNA-Cys". The record is from RNAcentral. Lineage: Eukaryota; Metazoa; Arthropoda; Insecta; Coleoptera; Ptinidae.
GGCCUUGUAUUCAAUUAUGAUUUUAAAUUGCAAAUUUAAAGGUGUUAACUCUAAGGCUU